This 465-nucleotide ribosomal RNA is filed under the name uncultured bacterium. Its description in RNAcentral is "partial 16S ribosomal RNA". It matches the Rfam family "Bacterial small subunit ribosomal RNA", at positions 338 to 795 of the family's 1533-position model. The record is from RNAcentral.
CCUACGGGAGGCAGCAGUAGGGAAUAUUGCACAAUGGGCGAAAGCCUGAAGGAGCAACACCGCGUGAGGGAAGAAGGGUUUCGGCUCGUAAAGCUCUGUUGUUGGAGAAGAAAGUGCGUGAGAGUAACUGUUCACGCAGGGACGGUAUCCAACCAGAAAGUCACGGCUAACUACGUGCCAGCAGCCGCGGUAAUACGUAGGUGGCAAGCGUUAGCCGGAUGUAUUGGGCGUAAAGCGAGCGCAGGCGGUUGCUUAGGUCUGAUGUGAAAGCCUUUGGCUUAACCGGAGAAGUGCAUCGGAAACCGGGAGACUUGAGUGCAGGAGAGGUAAGUGGAACUCCAUGUGUAGCGGUGGAAUGCGUAGAUAUCUGGAAGAACACCAGUGGCGAAGGCGGCUGUCUGGUCUGCAACUGACGCUGAGGCUCGAAAGCGUGGGUAGCGAACAGGAUUAGAUACCCGGGUAGUC